UACGAAGGUCCCAAGCGUUGUUCGGAAUUACUGGGCGUAAAGGGCGCGUAGGCGGCCCUCUAAGUCAGACGUGAAAUCCCCCGGCUUAACCUGGGAACUGCGUCUGAUACUGGAGGGCUUGAGUAUGGGAGAGGGAUGUAGAAUUCCAGGUGUAGCGGUGAAAUGCGUAGAUAUCUGGAGGAAUACCGGUGGCGAAGGCGGCAUCCUGGACCAUUACUGACGCUGAGGCGCGAAAGCUAGGGGAGCAAACGGG
This 253-nucleotide ribosomal RNA is filed under the name uncultured prokaryote. RNAcentral describes it as "partial 16S ribosomal RNA". It matches the Rfam family "Bacterial small subunit ribosomal RNA", at positions 524 to 776 of the family's 1533-position model. The record is from RNAcentral.